CAGGACCACAUCAUCCGCAAAAAGCAGAGAUGCGAUCCUAAGGCCACCAAAACGGAUCCCCUCAACACCUCGAUUGAAUUCUCUUGCUAAAUUUCUAUUCACAAAUUCUGCUUUCUAAAAUUCACCUCUUUAAAUUUCUUAAGUGAAAUAGUUUUAAGAAAGUGCUUAGACAUUGCAAGAAUACAAAAAGCCUAAUCUUUAUAGUAAUAGCAGUCUAAUUUAAGAUUUGAAAUUCCUCUUGCAUUUGUAACACUUUCUUUCUCAGUUCGACUAUUUUUUUUCUGCUCAGUUUAUUAUAUCAAACUUUUUUGUUUCUCUUGUGUGCUUUAUACUAUUUUCUUUGCAUUUUCAAUAAAGACAAACAUUUUCAGAAUUCUGUCUUUUAAUUCAAAAUGUCAUAUGCAGCAAUGAAUUGUGGGUCUGCUGAAGUCUUAGGCUUAGCAGAUGUAUGGAAAUAGGACCCAAAAGGAGCAGGACGAAUCCCGGAUGCCGAGAAUUGGGAGUCAUUACGCCCUCAAACCCUUCAACGUGAUAUUGGGACCAGACCUUUCAGUGUCUAAAGAUUCAAUUCAGAUGCUUAGGGUAACGAUUUGAUCCAGAAAAAAAAAUUGAUUUGGAAACCAAUUUUUCUAUUCAAACGGUCUAGAGAUUCUGCUUAAAUUAUACUAUUGAUGAGAGGAAAAAACAGUGUUUCUAACUUUGCAACCUUUUUGCUGCAUUUAGUACAGAAACAAAUUGGUGCAGGCCAAAAUAGGUUUGAUUUUUUACAAUAGCGGUUAUCUGUCAGAAAACUGAAAUCGGUGCACCCUCUACUUUCUUUUAAUAAUAAUAAUCAGUCUUUAGAACAAUUGAUGCUUGAAUAUGUCUACAUAUUUGACAGAACAUUCCUAAGGAAAAAUGGAUUGAAAAUGUUUUCAUUUUACGUGAUGUGUAUUUGUCUUUGUCUUAAAUAAAUCUCUUUAUAUACUGUAUUCUUCUCCCUUUCCCAUUAACUAUCAUAUAACUAUCAAAUAUCCAUACCAAGCUCAGUAUUGCAUAGCUGAGAAGGGAGGCAUUUUCCCUCAGACAUCCAAACAAGUUCAACACCUUUUAUUCAAUGAUGACUGGAUUUUCUCUUCCAAGGCAGAUGCAGGGCAUGAACGUCUUAUGCUAUUUCUGCUUGCAUCUUUGCUAUAAGUACCAUGCGGCUGUGUGUCUGUGCGCUUUCUGUCAGCUUGUUCGCCUGCUGGUGAGGGCAGCUGAUUCAGUGCAUGAAAAAUAAUACUGAAGAAAUAUAAAAAAUAAAAUCUAAAUACAUAAAUACGUGAUAAGUUUCUUAUUAUUGUUAUGGUUAUUUAAAAUAUAUUUCUUAGUACUGGAUGUGGUCUCAACAGUUUUUGUACAUAUGUUUUGGCAGUGCUGUGGCAUUUUAAACGGUGUCUGUUCUUGCCACAGUACCUUGUAUUAAUUACUGCUCGAAAUGUCUUGCCAUAUAGGUUUAUUCCUCUGUAUUUAGUUUGAAUUUAUUCUUUUUUUAAAUUGAAAUUUUAUCGAUUUUCUGAAUAUUAUCACACAUAAAGAAUAAACAAAAACAAAAAAGGCUGGUGCAGAGAAAAUGCUAAGUUUAACGCGUGGAGAAGAGAUAUUCACAAAGACAUACAUGAAUAAGACUAGAAUUAGGCUUGUUUAAAAGCACUAAAACAAAUGAUAAACACACUAUUUUAAAUUCUGCAGUAUAAAUUGUUUGAGAACCUAUAUAGCACCUGUUAGACUCCAUUAUAUGUCCAGAUACUUGCAUAUGACUCUUAUUUGAAAAAGGAACUCUUCUCCAUUGUCUUUGGCAGUGUUUCUCAACUGCUUUUGGGCCAGCGCCCCCUAUCCAUUAUCCAGGUCCCUUACCGCCCCUCUUCAAAUGAGAUGAGCUGCUACUUGUGUUGAUAUUAUGAAUAGUGUUGUUUCUGAAUUUAUCUUUAAAAAAUUAUUUCCUGAAGCACAUCGCUGAAUGACAGAUAUGCCUAACUUCAGCCAAUCAGAACGGCUAGACAUUUCAGUUCAAACUUUAUUCAACUAUACUAAACAGGAACCAAUCAGAAACAUCCAGCAAUCUACCAUUCAAGUAUUAAUUAAACAACCAAUCAGAAAUGCCAAGCAAUGAACAGAAUCAUUGUUCCAACGGAAAAGAAUCUGCCACUUAAGAACAGAGAACAAAGUAGGAUUUUAAGGCAGAUUUUCAAAGGCAAUUCAUUUGAAAAACUAAUGGGAACCCUGCACCUGGUGUUUUUCUGCCAGUUUCUUGGUUGCGGGCUGCAGACAAGUAAGUUUCAGCCAUAGUGCACCAGAAGCUGCCAAGUCCAAACGAUUUCGAUACUUAGACUGCAUGUGGAGGACCUGGUUGAAUGCCUGCUCCACGAGAUAUGUGGUUGGGAAAGCAACAAGAAGCAGCCUAGCCUUCUCCCAAAAAGCUUGAUAACGUGUGGCAUAUUUAGUCCACAUGCUGCCCCAGCCCAACGUACAAAAAAUGGCUUGGACAUCAACAAGAUGCUCCUGGAUGGCAAUCUUACAGUCGACUGAACCACCCAGACAAGAACUUCAAGAUCCAGAAGGUCCCUGAAGCGCAUUGCCAGAUCAUCCUGAACCAUUUUCAGGUGUUCCACGUAAAUGAGCUGUCAGUCAUCGGUAAGCUCCUCAGACACCUGUAAUGAUUAGGCUAUUAUUAUUAUUAUUAUUAUUAUUAUUAUUAUUAUUAUUAGCAAUGCAAUAAUUCAUUGAAAUUAAAUAAGUGUAAUUAAUUAUGAUAACCACCUUUGUCAACUGUGGGAAAUGAGACUGUGGAUGACUGCUUUGCACUGGACAAGAAUGCCAUUUCCUUGGAGCUUUAAUGUGACUGUUCAUUUUUUCAAAGAUGUCUGAUGGGUACCUGAUGUCACAGUGGGUGGAAGUCACCUGUUACCCCAGAGCUGCAUCGACUGACUCCAAAAACUCCACAAUGGAGUCGAACAGACUACAAAAACGAACAAGGCAGUUUCCCUUUGAGAGCCAGGGCACAUUUGUGUGGAGAAGAUGCUGAACUGAAAAAUCUCAUCAUUCUCCUGGCAUAGCUCUCGGAAUUGUCUGUCAUUUAGGGCGUGGGCUUUUAUUUUGUUAACUGCCUUGGCUGCGAUACUGAGGGACUCAUUGAGAGCUGGAUUUUUACAUUUGGCCACAAGAUUGUGACAGUACAGGACACACUUUACUGUCAGCACCUUCAGGACCUGCUCCUUAAGAAGAGCAGUGAAGCCGCCUUACCUGCCAACCAUCAAGGGAGCACGGUCAAUGGGUCAAUGCCAGAAUAUUUGUUAUUGGGAUGGACUUUUCCUGUAAAAAGCCAUGAACACCAUUGAAAAUGGUCUGACCCUUUGUGUGUUUUUAGACAUUUUGAAAAUAAAAAUUCUUCAGCCAUGUCCUCACUGCUGGGGCCCUUAAAGCAGACGUAAGCCAUCAACAGAGCAUUGAUGUCGGGAGUGGUCGUCUCAUCCAGCUGAAGGUGUCAUUGCCGAGUGAUAAGGAUUUCUGCACCUGCGUGGGGUAAAUGGUAAACACAGCGGAAGUUGUGUUUAUUGGAAAAGGUAUAAACCCAUAAUCAAGGUAUUCAAUCGAGUACUGACGACAUUUCGUCUUGUUCUGUGCCAUUUUCAAAUACGCUUCUUGCUAGUCUCGCAAAAACAACUGAAAAUGUCGCGCAAAAAUAUGACAUAUCACUUUUGUGCGGGCCACAUAUAGUUACUUAUAUGGCAGACUUAAUAACAGGCUUUUUGUUCAUGGAGUUUGCUUUGACAUUGCUUUGUGCCGUUUUAGAUUAAAUAAACCUCUUACGUGUUCCAUGAUUUGUGUUUUCGCAUUAUAUUUUUUUCAUAGAUGUAUCAAAGAUUGUAACUGACGUUGAGACUUUAAAGUUCACAACAAUACAGAUUCAUUGAGCUACAAAGAAAAGUCGCAGUGGUCAGCUAAUAUUGGGCCAGCGUUGCACCGACAAGAGGGGCAGGAAUUACUGUCGAUGUCUUAUUUAUAUGUUUGUGUUUAGUUUAACUGCACAUUUUAGACUGGUGAAAUGCAAUUUCAAACUUCUGUGUUAACCUUGUUACAUAGAUCUUUGACAAUAAAGUACACUUGACUUGAAUAUUGCUGCCAGCGCCCUCAGUCAUCCUCUCAAAACCCUAAUCUGGUGGACCAAAGCAGUGGUGUGGGGACAAUCAUUUCAUCUUGAAUGU
Molecule: non-coding RNA, 4226 nt
Organism: Poecilia reticulata (guppy)
Lineage: Eukaryota; Metazoa; Chordata; Actinopteri; Cyprinodontiformes; Poeciliidae
Source: RefSeq, a predicted model, not a curated record